CGUAGGGUGCAAGCGUUGUCCGGAAUUAUUGGGCGUAAAGAGCUCGUAGGCGGUCUGUCGCGUCGGCUGUGAAAAACUCGGGGGCUCAACCCCGAGCCUGCAGUCGAUACGGGCAGACUAGAGUGCUGUAGGGGAGACUGGAAUUCCUGGUGUAGCGGUGAAAUGCGCAGAUAUCAGGAGGAACACCGGUGGCGAAGGCGGGUCUCUGGGCAGUAACUGACGCUGAGGAGCGAAAGCGUGGGAGCAAACAGGAUU
This 255-nucleotide ribosomal RNA is filed under the name uncultured bacterium. Its description in RNAcentral is "partial 16S ribosomal RNA". It matches the Rfam family "Bacterial small subunit ribosomal RNA", at positions 526 to 779 of the family's 1533-position model. The record is from RNAcentral.